This is a non-coding RNA of Schistosoma curassoni, 45 nucleotides long. NCBI's taxonomy places the organism in Eukaryota, Metazoa, Platyhelminthes, Trematoda, Strigeidida, Schistosomatidae. The record is from Rfam.
AUCCAGAUGAUGAAUUUCAAAUAGGAUGAAACACGUGUCCUACAU